Long non-coding RNA from Canis lupus familiaris (dog), 705 nucleotides. RefSeq lists it as uncharacterized. The record is from RefSeq and is a predicted model, not a curated record. The transcript is spliced from 2 exons. NCBI's taxonomy places the organism in Eukaryota, Metazoa, Chordata, Mammalia, Carnivora, Canidae.
CAAGGAGGCAUUUGCUAGGCACUUGGUGUUGAUGGUGAAACAAACAGCCUAUAAUAGCAAUCAUACAUUGAAAAAAUCAUUUUUAAUACUAUGGAAAUCAGAUGUGGUAGGAAGCUCUGAGACCACGUAACCCACCGAGGCCGCUACCCGUGACAAUCACGUGUGCCAGACACUAUUCUAGGAGACUUGACUCGCAGAGAAGCUUCACGCGGUGAUGUCCAUUCUACAGCUAAGGACAGGCAGGCCUACUCCGGCCAGGUGCCGGGCCCCCAGCCUGAUCCCAGAGCCCGUCCUCUUGAUGGCAGAACCGAGGGGCGGCCACGGCUUCCCGCGCCAGGUGCGGCGCUGCUGCGGCCCGGCUCGGCCCGGCCCGGCUCGGCUCGGCCCGGCCCGGCCCGGCUCGGUACCCGGCAGGUGCGGUAUCGCCGCAGCCCUGGGUGACGGGGCCGCCGUCGCGCCAACACGCGUCCCCGGAAUGGGCUGGACCCGCCUUCCGCUACGUGACACCGGGAGGACAAUAACGCCGCUACGUCCUCGGGAUGUCGGAGGUGUAGGUGCACCUGCAUGGCUCAGCGGUUAAGCUUCUGCCUUCGGCCCAGGUCGUGAUCCCGCGGUCAUGGGAUCGAAUACCCCAGACGGCUCCCCGCAGGAAGUAUGCAUGUGUCUCUGCCUCUCAUGAAUAAAAAAAAAUUUAAAAAUCUUUAA